CCUACGGGCGGCAGCAGUGAGGAAUAUUGGUCAAUGGGCGCGAGCCUGAACCAGCCAAGUCGCGUGCAGGAGGACGGCCCUACGGGUUGUAAACCUCUUUUGCCGGGGAGCAACGGGCGUCACGUGUGGCGCCACUGAGAGUACCCGGAGAAAAAGCAUCGGCAAACUCCGUGCCAGCAGCCGCGGUAAUACGUAGGUUGCGAGGUUUAUCCGGAUUUAUGGGGUUUAAGGGGGUCGUUGCCGGAUCGUUAAGGCAGUGGUAAAUUUGAGGGGUCAAACCCCUCCCCGCAAUUGAAACUGGCGAUCUUGAGUGGAAGAGAAGUAUGCGGAAUGCGUGGUGUAGCGGUGAAAUGCAUAGAUAUGACGCAGAACCCCGAUUGCGAAGGCAGCAUGCCGGCUUCCGACUGACGCUGAAGCACGAAAGCGUGGGGAGCAAACAGGAUUAGAUACCCUUGUAGUC
Molecule: ribosomal RNA, 460 nt
Filed under: uncultured bacterium
Lineage: Bacteria
Description: partial 16S ribosomal RNA
Rfam family: Bacterial small subunit ribosomal RNA
Source: RNAcentral